GAGAUCUCGCAGGCGGCCGGCUGUG
Molecule: microRNA, 25 nt
Filed under: Equus caballus (horse)
Lineage: Eukaryota; Metazoa; Chordata; Mammalia; Perissodactyla; Equidae
Description: eca-miR-9001
Source: miRBase by way of RNAcentral